Molecule: ribosomal RNA, 293 nt
Filed under: uncultured prokaryote
Description: partial 16S ribosomal RNA
Rfam family: Archaeal small subunit ribosomal RNA
Source: RNAcentral
GUGUCAGCAGCCGCGGUAAUACCGGCAGUCCGAGUGAUGGCCGAUCAAAUUGGGCCUAUAGCGUCCGUAGCUGGCUGAACAAGUCCCUUGGGUUAUCUGUCCGCUUAACGGGCAGGCGUCCAGCGGAAACUGUUCAGCUUGGGACCGGAAGACCUGAGGCCUACGUCUGGGGUACCAGUGAAAUCCUGUUUUCCUGGACGGACCGCCGGUGGCGAAAGCGCCUCAGGAGAACGGAUCCGACAGUGAGGGACGAAAGCUAGGGUCUCGAACCGGAUUAGAAACCCCCGUAGUCC